AUUGAACGCUGGCGGCAUGCCUUACACAUGCAAGUCGAACGGCAGCACGGGAGCAAUCCUGGUGGCGAGUGGCGAACGGGUGAGUAAUACAUCGGAACGUGCCCAAUAGUGGGGGAUAGCCCGGCGAAAGCCGGAUUAAUACCGCAUACGACCUACGGGUGAAAGCGGGGGAUCGCAAGACCUCGCGCUACUGGAGCGGCCGAUGUCGGAUUAGCUAGUUGGUGGGGAAAGGCCUACCAAGGCUACGAUCCGUAGCUGGUCUGAGAGGACGACCAGCCACACUGGGACUGAGACACGGCCCAGACUCCUACGGGAGGCAGCAGUGGGGAAUUUUGGACAAUGGGCGCAAGCCUGAUCCAGCCAUGCCGCGUGCGGGAAGAAGGCCU
This 386-nucleotide ribosomal RNA is filed under the name uncultured bacterium. RNAcentral's name for it is "bacterial SSU rRNA". It matches the Rfam family "Bacterial small subunit ribosomal RNA", at positions 29 to 417 of the family's 1533-position model. The record is from RNAcentral.